GGUCACCCUGGCGCAGAUGUUUGUCCGCCGGUGUCUCCGUACCUGGAAGAGAGCUGCUCUUCUCAAGACCACCUCCAGGUAUCAACGACAGGUAGACUGCCCCCAGGUAUCAACGACAGGUAGACCACCUCCAGGUAUCAACGACAGGUAGACUGCCCCCAGGUAUCAACGACAGGUAGACCGCCCCCAGGUAUCAACGACAGGUAGACCACCUCCAGGUAUCAACGACAGGUAGACCACCUCCAGGUAUCAACGACAGGUAGACCACCCCCAGGUAUCAACGACAGGUAGACCACCCCCAGGUAUCAACGACAGGUAGACCACCCCCAGGUAUCAACGACAGGUAGACCACCCCCAGGUAUCAACGACAGGUAGACUGCCCCCGGACCCCGGCUCCCUGCUACCAUCUAGGGCAGAGGGUAUGGCUGUCCACUUGGGAUCUGGCCCCCCCCGGGCAGAGUCCAGUACACUGUCCCCCCAUUUUAUCGGCCCUUUCGCCAUCUCUAAAAUCCAUAGUAUACAAACCCUCCGUAUACAUCCCACUUUUCAUGUAUCAAGGAUUAAACUUCUGUCUCCCUUGCCCUGACCCUGCCUGCCCUGACCCUGCCUGCCCUA
Oncorhynchus tshawytscha (Chinook salmon) is the source of this 615-nucleotide long non-coding RNA. Lineage: Eukaryota; Metazoa; Chordata; Actinopteri; Salmoniformes; Salmonidae. The record is from Ensembl.